CAGCCAUGCCGCGUGUGUGAAGAAGGCCUUUUGGUUGUAAAGCACUUUAAGCAGUGAAGAAGACUCUUCGGUUAAUACCCGGAGACGAUGACAUUAGCUGYMGAAUARGCMCCGGCUAACUCUGUGCCAGCAGCCGCGGUAAUACAGAGGGUGCAAGCGUUAAUCGGAAUUACUGGGCGUAAAGCGAGCGUAGGUGGCUUGAUAAGUCAGAUGUGAAAUCCCCGGGCUUAACCUGGGAACUGCAUCUGAAACUGUUAGGCUAGAGUAGGUGAGAGGGAAGUAGAAUUUCAGGUGUAGCGGUGAAAUGCGUAGAGAUCUGAAGGAAUACCGAUGGCGAAGGCAGCUUCCUGGCAUCAUACUGACACUGAGGCUCGAAAGCGUGGGUAGCAAACAGGAUUAGAUACCCUGGUAGUCCACGCCGUAAACGAUGUCUACUAGUCGUUGGGUCCCUUGAGGACUUAGUGACGCAGCUAACGCAAUAAGUAGACC
RNAcentral lists this ribosomal RNA (489 nucleotides) under uncultured Gammaproteobacteria bacterium. RNAcentral's name for it is "bacterial SSU rRNA". It matches the Rfam family "Bacterial small subunit ribosomal RNA", at positions 389 to 870 of the family's 1533-position model. The record is from RNAcentral. Lineage: Bacteria; Pseudomonadati; Pseudomonadota; Gammaproteobacteria.